Octopus bimaculoides (California two-spot octopus) is the source of this 3162-nucleotide long non-coding RNA. The record is from RefSeq and is a predicted model, not a curated record. NCBI's taxonomy places the organism in Eukaryota, Metazoa, Mollusca, Cephalopoda, Octopoda, Octopodidae.
UACUCACAAGGUUUUGGUCAGCCCGGAACUAUAGUAGAAGAUAUUUUCCCACGUUAGGGGACUGAACCCGGGAUCAUAUGGAUGAGAAGCAAGCUUCUUACCACACAGCCACGCCUGCGCCUAGCAGUAUUUUCUUUUCGGAGACAUGCCGAAUGCCUAAACCACUACAAUGAGACUACUUGACCCUCAACUAAACGCUGGUCAAGAUAAUGACAAGACAACUGUGCUCGUAUGAGAAUGCAGAAGGAAGUUACAAAAUACCUGAAGUAUCUACAGACCGCAUGGUAACAUCUAACUUGGUAUAUAUAGAUUAUAAAACAUCGCGGCAGAUAUUUUUCCUAUAUCAUCGCUUCGAGCAGCGUAUUUUCACAUGGAACAAUUACUCCCUAUUGACCUGCUAUAUCCAGCUUCGAAGCUUCGGAGAGGAAGGCUGUUAUCUCUUCCACGCAUAUUUCAAUGAAAUGCCAAUAUCUGUAUCAUAUAUAUACUGGGCGUAUCAGAAAAAUUGUCCACGUUUUAAAUUCUAUUUCGAACCUUUUUUAUCUCAGGAAUGCUUAAAGAUAACUUAAUGGAAUUAUCAGAGGUUUUUCCAACACUAUUGGACUCUACUUUGAAGAAGAAAAGAUGUUGAUUACGCUCCAAGCUCACCAAAAGAAACGUGGUUAGGUUAAUCAUGGACGAAAAUGACAUUUUCGUAAAUAACUAACCAUAGCGCACAAAGAGAGCUCAUAAAGGAUUGGAAUAAAGUUUCAUUUCAAAGUACCAGGGUCAAUCCUGGCCGAAAUUCUACCUGUCAGGAAUCAAAAUUUGCUCCUCUUUAGGCAAUAUCUUCCUCAACCCUCUGCCUGAUUGCACCACAAGCUUUUUUAAUCUAUUCCUCAUCAAUGUCUUCUUCCUACGUCCUACAGAUGGAGUCUUUGCGGGCUUUCAGGUUAUAGUGGGGCUUCUCACAGGUUUUUCUGACCAGUUCGUUUCAGAUGUUGAAGUCUAAAGGGUUCAAAUCAAGUGAUGAAGGAAGCCAGGUGUCCUUAUCCCCAAACCUGUUCCCAAACUCAUCCCUGAGAAACGUUUGAGCUUCUACACUUGUGUGACAAGGACCUCCAUCUUGCUGGAACGUGAGCUUGAAGUUCUUAACAAUCUUGUUGAGGUUCCCUCAUCUUUUGCCUCAGGAUAUUCAGAAAGAUUCCAGGUCUUUGCAUCUUUCACAACCUAAACACCACAAAUCCAUUCAGUCUCCCAGCUUUUUCAAAGACGAUCAAUGGCAUAUUCUUGCCAUCAGAGUCUACAUGGAUGAAAAUCAUCACAUAGCAGGGCUUUUGCACCUGAAAAUGAUAUUUUUGGCUCUCUCGUGAGGAGCUGAAGCCAGAACGCGACUGGUGCAUCUAUUUGUAUGCGUAUGCUGAGUGAAAUUCUUCUUAUCUGUGUAAAAGAUCAUUCUAGGAUUAUGUUUCACUUUGUUCAAGAUGAUCUUACCAUCCCUGCAGCCAAAACUACCGGUUCCAGUUGUGACAAGAAGCCAGCAGCAUCGAGGUCCCCUCUAAGUAUGUCAUUCAGGACAGCGUCACGAGUGAACUGGCCCUCUUGUUGUGUCUGAUCACAGCAGGCUGACAGAGAGCGAGAGAGUGAGCGACAGUAAAUGAGAAAGACAUACAAGGAGGAUAAAAGAGAGUGAGAAAGACAGACAGACAGAUAGACAGAUAGACAGACAGACAGACAGACAUAGACAGAGAUAGUGCGAAGGAGACCAAUCGACACUAACUACAUACUCUGGCAUGCAUUCGUACACUCAAGUUCAUCAUAUACACACUUGUAGCCAAAGACUUGUGAAGUUAUGACACCACAUGAUAUCUGAAUUUUGUCGUACAAAUAAUGAAGCUAUUUUACUUUACUCCAGAAAUAUAUCAUGCCGGUGGAAUUUGAACUCGGAACACAAAGACGAACGAAAUGACGAGAGACUUAAAGAAUUUCAAGCACUUAUAAAUGGACUUGACGUAAAUAUUCAAUUUACGAUGGAACAAUUUCCAUUCCUCGACAUCCUCAUUAAGAAAUCUAACAACGAAAUAGAAACAGAUAUAUUUUAUAAGCCCACGGACUCCAAGCAGUAUCUACCAUUCAACUCAUGCCACCCCAGACACAUUCGAAUGAAUAUCCCUUCAACCUAGCAAUAAGGAUUUGUACUAUAGUUUCUACAAGCACCAGGGACACACGAGUACAUGAACUAAAGGAUACUCUCAUUACCAGGAACUACCUACCAUCAAUAAUUGACAUAGGCUUUCAACGUGCCCUACAACUCAACAUCCACGAAUUCAGACAUCCCCAAUUAAAGAAGGAUUUACAACCAAAAGCCCUACCAUACAUCUCCACACACAACCCUCUUAACAAAGAAGGCUUCGACACUAUCCUCCUGAACAUUCCCCUACUAAAAAGGGAUCACAGAAUUAAUUUAAUCCUCCAAACGCACACCAUCAUAAAGAGCAAAAGACAACCCAAAUCUAUGAAAAGUCUCCUAACACAAGCCCAAGUACGCUCGACAGUACUGAAGCCAUCAAUAAAAAAUGCGAAAGACCUAACUGUGGUAUAUGCGUCAACCUAAUUGAGGGAUCAAAGUUCUCUUUCAAACAGGGUCAACGUUUUACAGGGAAAAACAACUUCAUAUGUGCUUCUGAGAACCUAAUAUAUAUAUAUUAACUUGCUCUGGGUGUCGAGAGCAAUACAUAGGCCAAACCAAAAACAAUCUACGUCAAAGGAUGACUCUACAUAGAGCCCAGAUCAAAUUCGGGAAUAUAGAAAAAUAGCAUUCAGUGAACACAUCCACAUUUGCGCCACUAACAAACAACCCAGCUUCAGAAUUUUUCCCCUCUAUAAAUUCAGGGAUGAUGCAACCUGUAGUCAGCGCAUAUUUUAUCACAAAAUAUAAACUCCUUUUGAAUGCAUCCACCACAAAGGACACUAUUACAAGGGCCUUGGAAUAAUACUCACGCAAAUAUUAAAAACGAUAUAUUCAAAACAGUUACCACCUAUAAAUUUAUUCAGAACAAUUUCAAUCACUACUAUUACAACCACAACAGGUCACUUUUAGGUCACUUGACCAUUUAAGAGGUUUCCACCAACAUCCUACUACUGCCAUACCACUCCCGCAUUUUUAUUAUUUUUUCUCUUCUU